GAUGAAGAACGAAGCGAAAUGCGAUAAGUAAUGUGAAUUGCAGAAUUCAGUGAAUCAUCGAAUCUUUGAACGCACAUUGCGCCCGCCAGUAUUCUGGCGGGCAUGCCUGUUCGAGCGUCAUUUCAACCCUCAGGACCCUUUGGACCUGGUGUUGGGGCUCGGCCGCUACCCCGCGGCCGUCCCCGAAAGAUAGUGGCGGUCUCGCUGUAGCGUCCUCUGCGUAGUAAUUACACCUCGCACUGGAACGCGGCGCGGCCACGCCGUUAAACACCCCACUUCUCAAGGUUGACCUCGGAUCAGGUAGGAAUACCCGCUGAACUUAAGCAUAUCAAUAAGCGGAGGA
This 343-nucleotide unclassified non-coding RNA is filed under the name soil metagenome. Its description in RNAcentral is "partial contains 5.8S ribosomal RNA, internal transcribed spacer 2, and large subunit ribosomal RNA". The stretch from base 1 to 120 matches the Rfam family "5.8S ribosomal RNA", at positions 35 to 154 of the family's 154-position model. The record is from RNAcentral.